UUUAAUUAAGAGUUUGAUCCUGGCUCAGGACGAACGCUGGCGGCACGCUUAACACAUGCAAGUCGAACGAGAGAAGAGAAGCUUGCUUUUCUGAUCUAGUGGCGGACGGGUGAGUAACACGUGAGCAAUCUGCCUUUCAGAGGGGGAUACCGAUUGGAAACGAUCGUUAAUACCGCAUAACAUAAUUGAACCGCAUGAUUUGAUUAUCAAAGAUUUAUCGCUGAAAGAUGAGCUCGCGUCUGAUUAGCUAGUUGGUAAGGUAACGGCUUACCAAGGCGACGAUCAGUAGCCGGACUGAGAGGUUGAUCGGCCACAUUGGGACUGAGACACGGCCCAGACUCCUACGGGAGGCAGCAGUGGGGAAUAUUGCACAAUGGAGGAAACUCUGAUGCAGCGAUGCCGCGUGAGGGAAGAAGGUUUUAGGAUUGUAAACCUCUGUCUUCAGGGACGAAAAAAGACGGUACCUGAGGAGGAAGCUCCGGCUAACUACGUGCCAGCAGCCGCGGUAAUACGUAGGGAGCGAGCGUUGUCCGGAAUUACUGGGUGUAAAGGGAGCGUAGGCGGGAUCGCAAGUCAGAUGUGAAAACUAUGGGCUUAACCCAUAAACUGCAUUUGAAACUGUGGUUCUUGAGUGAAGUAGAGGUAAGCGGAAUUCCUAGUGUAGCGGUGAAAUGCGUAGAUAUUAGGAGGAACAUCAGUGGCGAAGGCGGCUUACUGGGCUUUAACUGACGCUGAGGCUCGAAAGCGUGGGGAGCAAACAGGAUUAGAUACCCUGGUAGUCCACGCCGUAAACGAUGAUUACUAGGUGUGGGGGGACUGACCCCUUCCGUGCCGCAGCAAACGCAAUAAGUAAUCCACCUGGGGAGUACGACCGCAAGGUUGAAACUCAAAGGAAUUGACGGGGGCCCGCACAAGCAGUGGAGUAUGUGGAUUAAUUCGAAGCAACGCGAAGAACCUUACCAGGUCUUGACAUCGUAUGCAUAGCUCAGAGAUGAGUGAAAUCUCUUCGGAGACAUAUAGACAGGUGGUGCAUGGUUGUCGUCAGCUCGUGUCGUGAGAUGUUGGGUUAAGUCCCGCAACGAGCGCAACCCUUACUGUUAGUUGCUACGCAAGAGCACUCUAGCAGGACUGCCGUUGACAAAACGGAGGAAGGUGGGGAUGACGUCAAAUCAUCAUGCCCCUUAUGACCUGGGCCUCACACGUACUACAAUGGCUGUAAACAGAGGGAUGCAAAGCCGCGAGGUGGAGCGAACCCCUAAAAGCAGUCUUAGUUCGGAUUGUAGGCUGCAACCCGCCUACAUGAAGUCGGAAUUGCUAGUAAUCGCAGAUCAGCAUGCUGCGGUGAAUACGUUCCCGGGCCUUGUACACACCGCCCGUCACGCCAUGGGAGUCGGUAACACCCGAAGCCUGUAGUCUAACCGCAAGGAGGACGCAGUCGAAGGUGGGAUUGAUGACUGGGGUGAAGUCGUAACAAGGUAGCCGUAUCGGAAGGUGCGGCUGGAUCACCUCCUUUCUA
Molecule: ribosomal RNA, 1516 nt
Filed under: Ruminococcus sp. AF18-29
Lineage: Bacteria; Bacillati; Bacillota; Clostridia; Eubacteriales; Oscillospiraceae
Description: bacterial SSU rRNA
Rfam family: Bacterial small subunit ribosomal RNA
Source: RNAcentral